UAAUCUCACUACAAUCCUCUCUGGUUGUACGUGGAUCUGGAUGCUGCCGUGUGCUACAAACGGCUCGUCUGAAAUGCCUGAGUGUACCCUGCUUUGCAGCGUAUUUGGUGUGAUACAUCUUCACCGGAGUUUGACCUUUCGGGGUCACGUCUGCUUACUUAUGGCUCUAUGCUUCCAACUGUCUUGACCAGACAAUGCCUGACA
Molecule: unclassified non-coding RNA, 204 nt
Filed under: uncultured Sebacinales
Lineage: Eukaryota; Fungi; Basidiomycota; Agaricomycetes; Sebacinales
Description: sequence contains ITS2
Source: RNAcentral